Molecule: ribosomal RNA, 2220 nt
Filed under: Triticum aestivum (bread wheat)
Lineage: Eukaryota; Viridiplantae; Streptophyta; Magnoliopsida; Poales; Poaceae
Description: partial small subunit ribosomal RNA
Source: RNAcentral
AUGGAGGAUCCCAUCACGGCUUCGCUCGGCCCCAUGGGUCGCCUCCUCCGGCGACUCCGUUCGCUGGAGGCUUCGGAACACCCUAUGCCGGAGGGGCUCAGUGCGAACGGGAUCCGGCUUCUGAAAGAAGGUCUAGAAGGAUUGUACGACCACCUCAAGGGUUUGCCGGAGGCAGAUCUGGACAACCCUAGCUUCACGCCCAAAUGGUGGACCAAGGAGGUCCGGGAACUUGCUUACGACACGGAGGACUUCUGCGAUGAGGUUAUACAGUCCGGCGGCGGCGGCGGCGGCGGCAGCAGCGGCAGAAGCGCUCCUGUUAGUGCCAUAUUUGGAGUUACCAGUAAGCGGAAGCAGCGCCUGCCCCAGAUUGCACAAGAUUUCUCACUUUUAAUGUCUCGUGUGAAUGAUGCCAGAGAAAGAUGCAAAAUUUUCCAGUUUGCUCCGCAGACAGCCAUCAAAUCUGACCAUGGACAAGCCAGUACCAGCAGCCACACUCCUGGACUGUCGAUAGACAUGCCUGCGUUGACCGCGAUAGCCGCCGGCCAUAGCCUAGUUGGUGUCGAGGAACCCAGGAAGAAGCUUGUCAACCUGCUUGCUUUCGGCGACAAUCAGCAGAAACAGCUCAAGGUGAUACCUAUCUUUGGAUCUGCAGGAGUUGGAAAAACGACAGUUGCGAGAACAAUGUAUCAUCAGUAUGGAGGGGAAUUCCAAUGCCGUGCUUUUGUACGGGUUUCCCGGAAUCCUGAUAUGAGGAGGCUUCUCACCAGCAUCCUCUCACAAAUUAAGGCACCAGGAGCUCACACCUUUUCUGAUGCGCAGGACCUUAUUGACUGUAUCAUCAAGCAUCUUCAUCAGAAAAGGUACUUCAUUGUUGUUGAUGAUUUAUGGACAGCAUCAGUAUGGGAUAUUAUUAGCCGUGCUUUUCCUUAUGGUGAUUGUUGCAGCAGAAUACUGACAAUCACACAGAUUGAGGAUGUAGCAUUGGCAUGUUCUGGUUAUGAGUCAGAGUACAGAUUUAACUUGGAACCUCUUAAUAAUGAUGAAUCUCGAAAAUUAUUCUUCGAUACUGUUUUUGGCUCUGAAUGUGAAGGUGGUUGUCCUAAGGAAUUCGAAGUAGUUGUGGAUAGGAUUAUCAGGAAAUGCGGUCGUUUACCGUUAUCAACUCUAAAUAUAGCAAGCCUGUUGCUACCAAGCAAACCAAACCCUGCAUUUCAGCAGUGGGAGAAGGUAGAAAGUUCUCUACCCUCCACUUUGAGGACAAAUCCUACUUCCAAUGGGAUGAAAGAUGUUAUAAUCCUUGUAUAUGAUAAGCUUCCACUUCAUUUGAAGACAUGCUUGCUCUAUGUUGGUAUGUAUCCAGAGGGCUACACGAUCAGUAAGGAUGAUUUGGAGAAGCAAUGGGUUGCUGAAAGUUUUGUCAGCGACGCUGAGCAUGGUUACUUUAACGAGCUUCUCAGAAGAGGCAUGAUCCAACCGGUAGACACUAACUAUCACGGUGAGGUGUUGUCAUGUACAGUUAACCACAUGGUACUGGAUCUUAUCAGGCACAAAUCCAUGGAGGAUAAUUUCAUCAUUACUGUGAACUAUCUUGAAUCAACUAUAGGGCUUCCUGACAAGGCUCGUCGAUUGUCCAUCCAGUUCGGAGGUGCAAAAAGUGCAAAGAUACCGGAAAUCAUCAGAAUGUCCCAAGUCCGAUCGCUUUUCUUCUGUGGAUUCUCUGGAUGUGUGCCUUCCAUUCCGGAUUAUGGCCUUCUUCGAGUUUUAAUUCUUCAUAUUUGGGCUGAUCAAGACAAGAUGAGCUUUGACCUCACUGGAAUCGGUGAACUCUGUCGACUGAGAUAUGUCCAGGUUGAAUGUAAUAUCACUGUCAAUUUGCCAGACAAGAUUCAAGGGUUACGAUACUUGGAGACACUGCAAAUAGAUGGAAGACUAUCUGCUGUUCCAUCAGAUAUUGGAGAUUUGGAGAAAUUACGUCACCUCCGCCUUCCAAACCAGGCUAAUGUGAGGGACCUUGGCGGGCUGGUUAACCUCCAGGAUCUUCAUCUCACCUGUUCUACAAUACACCCAGUUGAUAAUCUGGAGGACAACAUGAAAUACCUAGGCACAGUUCUCGAGAAACUCAACAACCUCAAAUCUCUAACUCUUACAUCUUUACGCUCCUCUCCCGUAAAUACUUCGAGGAUGAGUAUUUCCUGCCAUGGCUUGAGCAGCGUGUCUUGA